Bos taurus (domestic cattle) is the source of this 431-nucleotide long non-coding RNA. NCBI's taxonomy places the organism in Eukaryota, Metazoa, Chordata, Mammalia, Artiodactyla, Bovidae. The record is from Ensembl.
GCCCCGCCCUCUGCAACCAAGAGCCAGCACUGCCAAAAAUAAAUAAAAUGAUCUUUAAAAAAUCAAGAUCGGUGGGUGAAUGGAAGGGUGGACAGAUGUGUAAGAAGUACCGAAUGAUGAUGGAUCGAAGACGCAAGCGCUGCUUGCUGUGCAGGAAAGUCUGAGACAGAGCGCCCGGGGUUCACCGAGAACUCGAGGAGCCCCUGAGCCGACAGGACAUGGAAGUUGCCUGUACCGUCAAGAAGCCGACGACCGCAGCCUCUGAGGUCGAAGUCCACCCUGGGCAAGGCCAGCACCGACCGGAAGCCUAAGGCCCCUCCCUGAGGGGCAGGUGACAGGACACGGACCUGGUCAUCCUCUGGCCCUUGCUUCAGAUGCUCCUGGGGAAGUUACAGGAAUCGGCCGUGUGCGAAGGCGGAGGUCCCCGCCGG